Hylaeus volcanicus is the source of this 415-nucleotide long non-coding RNA. RefSeq lists it as uncharacterized. The transcript has 3 exons. The record is from RefSeq and is a predicted model, not a curated record. NCBI's taxonomy places the organism in Eukaryota, Metazoa, Arthropoda, Insecta, Hymenoptera, Colletidae.
AUUUGAUUUAUUCAAAUAUAAACAGUGCCAUUGUUUCCGAGGGUAACGCGACAUCGAUAGAGACGAAUAACCUCAUUCCAUUCCCAAACGAGAUUAUUGCAAGCGAACGCAAUUAAAUUAAUCGAAUUAUCAACGAUAAGACAUUUCAAGAAGAAGAAAUUAGCUAAUCAUUGAAUGGUUCCACUGAGAUUUCAGAAAAGAUCUGCUUAUGUCUGCUCCAACCAAUAAGUUGUCCAGCCGCCUACGACCUUCUAUCCAUCUAACAUCGCAUCAACAGGUUUGACGUGGUUAUUAGCGACGACUGCUAGGAGUGGAGAAUACAAAGUGGUUAAAUCUCGUUAUGUAGUCUGUCAACAUUAUUCUUAAUCAUAAAACUGUUUCCAUUUGUGCAUGGAUUAUAGUUUUUUUUUUUUUU